This 813-nucleotide long non-coding RNA is filed under the name Elaeis guineensis (African oil palm). RNAcentral's name for it is "long non-coding RNA (EGUI_LNC023961)". Lineage: Eukaryota; Viridiplantae; Streptophyta; Magnoliopsida; Arecales; Arecaceae. The record is from RNAcentral.
GUUGUAUCCUAGAGGUGAAUUACAGAAAAUACAGACUAAAUACAUGCUAUUUAAUGGUGAACAAACAAGAGCAUUACUUGACUAAAUAAGCUGACGGAAGCCCCCCACUACUUGUAAAGAUACUCUUUAGAGCCUAUUGGCUAUUUCUACGAGGACUAGGCUGAAAAUUCUAUAGGAUUCGUGAAUUGGGCCGUCUAUGUAAGCACGAUUUUGGAUCAACCAAACUCCACCCAGCCUACAUCCCGUAGGAAGGGAAAAAGUUUUCUUUUUUUCUUUUUUUAAUCUUCUUGCAGCUGGGAUCUGAGCCGAGUUUGGAAGGCUCUUGAAAAUGAACAACAAGCGCGAUUCUUACAGAGUUUUCAGCCAAAUCGUGUAAGAAUAUCCAAUCAGUCUUUUAGAAUAUUUUUGCUUUAAUUAUUUACAAUAAUUAAAGCAAAAAUAAAUAAAAAAUAUUUUUUCCCUUUGAGAUCACGGCACUAAUCAAGUUUAGGCGCAGAUAACUCCGAAUCAUCAGAAAUUCCCGGCAGACACCUUCCAGAACACUCCAGCCGGGUUUGGUCAGGAAUCGCUGGCAGUUGGAAAUCUCAGUAGAGGAUUUGAUGUUAAUCUCCGUAACAUCAAAUAUACAAAAACCGUCCAAAUUUCAGUAGGGCCCACGCCAUAUACGGAUGAGGCAAACUCCACGUGUCAGUUGCUGGCCUUAUUAAUACCUAAACUCUAAAGCAGCCCAACAGCAAAUUCCAUUAUCUGGAUGGGGAGUGGAUAAAGAAGAGGAGAAUAUUCCAAGGAAAUGGUGGCGGUGGAGAGGGGUAC